AUUGAACGCUGGCGGCAGGCCUAACACAUGCAAGUCGAACGAGUGGCGGACGGGUGAGUAAUGUCUGGGAAACUGCCCGACGGAGGGGGAUAACUACUGGAAACGGUAGCUAAUACCGCAUACCAUCGGAUGUGCCCAGACGGGAUUAGCUAGUAGGUGGGGUAACGGCUCACCUAGGCGCCGAUACCUAGCUGGUCUGAGAGGAUGACCAGCCACACUGGAACUGAGACACGGUCCAGACUCCUACGUGAGGCAGCAGUGGGGAAUAUGCCCCAAGGGGCGCAAGCCUGAUGCAGCCAUGCCGCGUGUAUGAAGAAGGCCUUCGGGUUGGAAAGUACUUUCAGCGAGGAGGCGUUACUCGCAGAGGAAGCACCGGCUAACUCCGUGCCAGCAGCCGCGGUAAUAC
Molecule: ribosomal RNA, 406 nt
Filed under: uncultured bacterium
Lineage: Bacteria
Description: partial 16S ribosomal RNA
Rfam family: Bacterial small subunit ribosomal RNA
Source: RNAcentral